RNAcentral lists this ribosomal RNA (645 nucleotides) under uncultured bacterium. Its description in RNAcentral is "bacterial SSU rRNA". It matches the Rfam family "Bacterial small subunit ribosomal RNA", at positions 1 to 640 of the family's 1533-position model. The record is from RNAcentral.
UAGUGAUUAGAGUUUGAUCAUGGCUCAGAUUGAACGCUGGCGGCAUGCCUUACACAUGCAAGUCGAACGGCAGCACGGGGGCAACCCUGGUGGCGAGUGGCGAACGGGUGAGUAAUACAUCGGAACGUGUUCUGUAGUGGGGGAUAGCCCGGCGAAAGCCGGAUUAAUACCGCAUACGAUCUACGGAAGAAAGCGGGGGACCGAAAGGCCUCGCGCUAUAGGGGCGGCCGAUGGCAGAUUAGCUAGUUGGUGGGGUAAAGGCCUACCAAGGCGACGAUCUGUAGCUGGUCUGAGAGGACGACCAGCCACACUGGGACUGAGACACGGCCCAGACUCCUACGGGAGGUAGCAGUGGGGAAUUUUGGACAAUGGGGGCAACCCUGAUCCAGCCAUGCCGCGUGCGGGAAGAAGGCCUUCGGGUUGUAAACCGCUUUUAGUCGGGAAGAAAGGGUUCUCUUGAAUAGGGGGGAUCUUUGACGGUACCGGCGGAAUAAGCACCGGCUAACUACGUGCCAGCAGCCGCGGUAAUACGUAGGGUGCGAGCGUUAAUCGGAAUUACUGGGCGUAAAGCGUGCGUAGGCGGUUCCUCAAGUCCGUUGUGAAAGCCCCGGGCUCAACCUGGGAAUGGCAGUGGAAACUAGGGGA